This 422-nucleotide ribosomal RNA is filed under the name uncultured Actinomycetes bacterium. Its description in RNAcentral is "bacterial SSU rRNA". It matches the Rfam family "Bacterial small subunit ribosomal RNA", at positions 233 to 671 of the family's 1533-position model. Lineage: Bacteria; Bacillati; Actinomycetota; Actinomycetes. The record is from RNAcentral.
GCGGCCUAUCAGCUUGUUGGGGAGGUAACGGCUCACCAAGGCUUCGACGGGUAGCUGGUCUGAGAGGAUGAUCAGCCACACUGGGACUGAGACACGGCCCAGACUCCUACGGGAGGCAGCAGUGGGGAAUCUUGCGCAAUGGGCGAAAGCCUGACGCAGCCACGCCGCGUGCGGGAUGAAGGCCCUAGGGUUGUAAACCGCUUUUAACAGGAACGAAAAUGACGGUACCUGUAGAAUAAGGUGCGGCCAACUACGUGCCAGCAGCCGCGGUGACACGUAGGCACCAAGCGUUGUCCGGAUUUAUUGGGCGUAAAGAGCUCGUAGGCGGUUCAGUAAGUCGGGUGUGAAAACUCUGGGCUUAACCCAGAGACGCCACUCGAUACUAUUGUGACUAGAGUUCGGUAGGGGAGACUGGAAUUCCU